RNAcentral lists this ribosomal RNA (486 nucleotides) under Duttaphrynus melanostictus (Asian common toad). RNAcentral describes it as "partial 16S ribosomal RNA". It matches the Rfam family "Bacterial large subunit ribosomal RNA", at positions 1811 to 2511 of the family's 2925-position model. Lineage: Eukaryota; Metazoa; Chordata; Amphibia; Anura; Bufonidae. The record is from RNAcentral.
AAACAUCGCCUCUUGAACCCGCAUAAGAGGUCCAGCCUGCCCAGUGACCCUGUUCAACGGCCGCGGUAUCCUAACCGUGCGAAGGUAGCGUAAUCACUUGUUCUUUAAAUGUGGACUAGUAUGAACGGCAUCACGAAGGUUAUACUGUCUCCUUUUUCUAAUCAGUGAAACUAAUCUCCCCGUGAAGAAGCGAGGAUAAAAAUAUAAGACGAGAAGACCCUAUGGAGCUUUAAACAAAGUAGCACUCGCCACAUAAAUAAGAAAUUCCAGAAUCAUCAUUUACCUCAGGCAAUCUGACUACACGUUUUUGGUUGGGGUGACCGCGGAGCACAACACAACCUCCAUGUUGAAAGAAAGUUUUCUAAACUAAGAACUACACCUCUAAGUAUCAAAAAAUUGACAUCCAUUGACCCAAUAAAUUUGAACAACGAACCAAGUUACCCUAGGGAUAACAGCGCAAUCCACUUCAAGAGCCCCUAUCGACAA